CAAACCUCAAGCAACUGCUUGGUAUUGAGCUUUCGUCUUUUUACAAAAGACGUGCUCGAAACUUGUGGGCGGUGCUGUCUAGCAUCUUUGCGUAGUCAUAUAAAUUUCGCACUGAUAAAGCUAGGUGGUCACCCGCCAAACAAAUCUUGAUUUCCUUUCGAGGAAGUCAUAACUUUUUUCAG
This 182-nucleotide unclassified non-coding RNA is filed under the name uncultured Ascomycota. RNAcentral describes it as "sequence contains ITS2". The record is from RNAcentral. Lineage: Eukaryota; Fungi; Ascomycota.